Molecule: ribosomal RNA, 471 nt
Filed under: uncultured bacterium
Lineage: Bacteria
Description: bacterial SSU rRNA
Rfam family: Bacterial small subunit ribosomal RNA
Source: RNAcentral
ACUCCUACGGGAGGCAGCAGUGGGGAAUAUUGCACAAUGGGCGCAAGCCUGAUGCAGCCAUGCCGCGUGUAUGAAGAAGGCCUUCGGGUUGUAAAGUACUUUCAGCAGUGAGGAAGGUGGGUAUGUUAAUAGCAUAUUCAUUUGACGUUAGCUGCAGAAGAAGCACCGGCUAACUCCGUGCCAGCAGCCGCGGUAAUACGGAGGGUGCGAGCGUUAAUCGGAAUUACUGGGCGUAAAGCGCAUGCAGGUGGUUUGUUAAGUCAGAUGUGAAAGCCCGGGGCUCAACCUCGGAAUUGCAUUUGAAACUGGCAAACUAGAGUACUGUAGAGGGGGGUAGAAUUUCAGGUGUAGCGGUGAAAUGCGUAGAGAUCUGAAGGAAUACCGGUGGCGAAGGCGGCCCCCUGGACAGAUACUGACACUCAGAUGCGAAAGCGUGGGGAGCAAACAGGAUUAGAUACCCUGGUAGCGUAG